This 440-nucleotide long non-coding RNA is filed under the name Dromaius novaehollandiae (emu). RNAcentral's name for it is "lncRNA (ENSDNVG00000010820.1)". Lineage: Eukaryota; Metazoa; Chordata; Aves; Casuariiformes; Dromaiidae. The record is from RNAcentral.
ACAACAGAGAACUGGGCUUUAUGACCCACUAAGUUUUUCCAGCCCUGUGCCUGAAGACACAGGAGGCACUGGCAAAAGAAAUUCUGCUUGUUCAUGUAAGAAGGGAAGCUUUUAGAAAACUUUCGGAAGUAUGAAUACUGAGACCAUUUUAAGGCUAUCUUUUAACAAACAGCCAAAGCAAUAAAACCAAUACUAAAUCCAUAAAACAAAAGGAUUGGAUUGCUUAAGUAAAAAGAGGCCAGAGUGAAAGCCUGACAGGACAAAGAAGACCAGGAAUGAGGGAAGAAAAAACUCAGUUCCCUCUCCUGCAACCAAAAAUCGACUUUGUCAACAAAAGCAAGAGUUUUUUGGAGGGGCUUGAAGCAGGCCUCCACUAGUUCCCUAAUUUGGUUUCAGAGAUGGUAUGAUGGCAGGUUCACCUUCCGAGAUGCAGAAGACUG